RNAcentral lists this long non-coding RNA (1443 nucleotides) under Cyanistes caeruleus (blue tit). RNAcentral's name for it is "lncRNA (ENSCCEG00000019961.1)". Lineage: Eukaryota; Metazoa; Chordata; Aves; Passeriformes; Paridae. The record is from RNAcentral.
CUUCCAUCCCUUCCACAGAUAAUUUUUCCCUUGACAAAGCUUUACUGUGGACAAAUGGUGCCUUUACAGACCUCCUCAGAACAUCAGUCUAAGUGAGUGUAUUUUGCUAUCAGUGUUUAGCAUAUUGAUUAACUUGUUUUUAGAUAAAAGCUGUGAAGGAGAAGAUGCUUCUUUCUUCUGUCCCUCAGCAGGGAUCUCAGCAGUUUCUCAUCACCUCCAGACUACAUGCUGAAUAGAGGUGUGGGGCCAAGUUGUCUUCAAACAGCAACAGCUGUGUUUGGUGUAGCCAGCAGCCCAAGCACAUGUCAUCUCAGCACUGCCCUCCAGUUUUGCAGCGUCAUUUAUUAGCUAUGUGUGAGGUCAAAGAGCACACAGGUAUUCACACAGCCACUGCUGGACUUCAAGAUCACUCUGGAUUCCUCUCCAUCCUGUCCCAACCAUGCCAUGUCUGCCUUACAGCGUGUGCCUUCCAGCAGCGUGGGACUGCAGGCUGCAGAGACUUGCCAAGAGGAGCUCGCAUCAAACCAGUCUGGCACAUCAGCAGGGAAAGCAUGAGGAGACAGCCAGCAGCUUGGUGCUAGCUGGAGGUCCAGAGCAUUGCACAAGCUUUCUCAGACUGAGCUGGAAUUUUCAUAGAGCUUCAGUUUAUGCUAUUGGCUAUGACAGAUUGUAUCUUCUUGGGGGAAGAUUGCAAUGACAGGGGAAGAUAUACCAAAGAAUGAAUUACAGAAACUGCUGCUGAUUGCUGCAUUGUAAAAGGUCUCCUGCUGGCACUACAGCUACUAUUGCUCACAGCUGGGAGCAAAGUGUUUCCAAACCCAGCUUUCCAGCUCUUUCCUGACACACUGAGAUAUGGCACUGUACAGUCUAAUUGCAUUAUAAGAAGUAACACAACAAAGCCAAUUCCCAAUUCAAAUUGCAUCCCCCAAUUCAAAGCCGGUGUUCAUUUUAUAACAGGAUGCAAAACCAGAAGCACAGAGUUCUUUUUAAAGCUAUGGUGCAGCUGAGCAGCACUUUCAGUGAAACUCAGGCUCUGUGGGAACAGUGCCAUGAAGUACGGGAUGCCAAUCAACAUGGCCUAACACUUUUAUUUCUUCUCAUGAAAUAAGUUACUUUUUAAAUGGCAUUAGAAUAAUGAACAAUACUUUCAAUUGCAGCAUUGACAACUUCUCUUCAGCAUCAUGCUGCUUCUAAGUUAACAUCUUUAGAAGAAAUGCUGGCAUAGUCGUGUCCUCGACAGGCACAUGAAAGAACAUCACCAGAGACCCAGAAGUUCACUAGCGAAACACAUGGUUCAGACACUGACCAUUUGCUUGCAAGCAUAUGUAACAUUUGCUUAAAUUCCCAUGCUAUUGAGAUGAUUAACAAAUAGCUUAUUCACCCUGGGGUUUUUCCCAUGUCCUAAUAGCUCAGGUAAUAAAUAAUCCUUCAAAAAUUUUAACA